ACGUGCAUGCCUGCAGCUGAAUUCGUCAGCAGAAGCGCGCCGAGCACGCAGCCACGCGCGUAUACAGCGACACAGACGCGCGCGAGGAAGAGAGUUCAUCUCAACAACGCAACUCAUCCGUAGACUGGAGAAGACAGGAAUGGAAUUAUCACUGAUGGCAGCUCAGCAUAUUCAAGCGGUCAGUGGAGCCUUCAUGGAUUCUCAACACAAUGGCAACACACCCCUUCAGACCUCCACCUCUAACCUCAACGCCAUCUUGCCCAAACCAGCCGAGAAAGAAGAGGAGGACGAAACCAUCUGGCUGAGUUUGGCAACAGGGCUGUGGUUUUUUUCUGGCCAUAGUUUGAUCUCAGAAAUGUGGCACAGCUGUAACACCGUUUGUGUGCUUGACUCCGGAGUCAAUGGAGACGCAGGUGUCCAUCACGCUCUCAACCACACCACAAUGUGCCUUAGGGAACGUAAUGCUGCCGAUCUGUGUGCUCUGGUGUGGACACAGUGGGAAUGAUCUCAUUUUGGAGAAAGAAGAAAGUCAUAUACAUCUAGGAUGGCUUAAGGAUUGAAAGGAACAUGUUGCAGCCUAAAGGAUGCUUGUAUUCGAGCAUAUUCUCACAAGAAUCAAAUUCUUUGAGACACUUUGAUAUGCUGCAGCAGCACAAUGGGAACCUGCUUUAAAGACACUCAGAAGUGGAGGAGCUUGUUUGAUUAUCAAGUGAAUUCCUGCUGGGGAAAUAGAGCAGAUUCAUAAUGUCAACGUGCUCUGAAUAUCUGUAAAUGUUAGGAUCAGUAGAAUGAUUUUGUUUGUUUGUUUGUUUGUUUUACAGUUUAAUCACAAAAUGCAUAUGAGGGUUAACAGUAUUUUUUGAGACGUAUUUGGGUUAUUUGCGUGUGGUGGAGACAGUUUGAUUGAGAAUCUCUUCAAAAGUGAGCAAAAAGACCAACUUUUUAUUUUUAUUAGUAGGACUGUCAUUGACACAAAAUAUAGUUUUAAUAAUAUUAUGCAUCUAAUUGUUGAUUUGUUGUAUAUGCAUUUAGAGGGGGUAAAGUUUAUAAAAAAAAUAAGUUCAUAGUAGAUGAAACUAUAUAAAUGGAGAAGAAGCACUUUAUUUAUUUACGCUGGUCAGUAGAACUUGUGAUUUUCAUUCAAACAUCUUCUGUUUACGCAUUGCAUAUCCAUCUGCUUGCUCCUUAUCGGUCCGAUCUGAAAUUUGUGAAUGAAUGAGUAACACCGGACCCUCAGGGACGCUUUUUGUAAACAUUUACCUGACUCCAGCACAGCAAUACAGCACUGUUUCACGUGCAAAAAAUCCAGUUCAAGUUAUCACAGAUUGCACUGUUAAAUGUGUGAAAUGAACAUAUGGAAAGUACAUGUAAAGUGGGACAGUUGAGCUCAUCUAUCAUUAUGUAAAUAUUCUUGGGAAUGGGAUGGCGCUUAUGUAAGCAUUUUUAUCAUCUUAUAACCAACAGCCAUGAAGUGUCAGAAUGUGUCUCACUUUACCUGGAUUCAAAGUGAUCUGAACAGACUGGAUUUCAUUAAAAUGAUCGCCACGUCUAUAAUUCGUUUUGCCUUAACUAUAUUAUAGCAUUAUAAUAGCACAUGAUGCACACUUUAAAAAUCUUGAUAAUUGUACCCGUUUAAUUCAUGCCAAUAUUUUUUUUUUUUUUUUUUUUUUUUUUUAAAUGAAGAUAAAACAUAUAAGUGACACAUGUGAUUAUCUUUUAUGAGCCCAGCCACUCAUGCGUUUAGACUGUCUUGCAUGUUGGCAAAUAUCUCUGUUCCGCUGUUAUUUUAUGCAAGUAUUAUUGUCUAUACUGUACAUAAAAUUGUGUAAAAAUUA
This is a long non-coding RNA of Ctenopharyngodon idella (grass carp), 1835 nucleotides long. RefSeq lists it as uncharacterized. Lineage: Eukaryota; Metazoa; Chordata; Actinopteri; Cypriniformes; Xenocyprididae. The transcript has 5 exons. The record is from RefSeq and is a predicted model, not a curated record.